CGUCUGUGAUUUUGGUUUUUAAC
RNAcentral lists this microRNA (23 nucleotides) under Drosophila melanogaster (fruit fly). RNAcentral's name for it is "dme-miR-9372-3p". Lineage: Eukaryota; Metazoa; Arthropoda; Insecta; Diptera; Drosophilidae. The record is from miRBase by way of RNAcentral.